RNAcentral lists this ribosomal RNA (570 nucleotides) under Costus osae. RNAcentral describes it as "eukaryotic LSU rRNA". The stretch from base 237 to 392 matches the Rfam family "5.8S ribosomal RNA". Lineage: Eukaryota; Viridiplantae; Streptophyta; Magnoliopsida; Zingiberales; Costaceae. The record is from RNAcentral.
AAGGAAUGACUGCGAAUACGUAAACCAAGUGUCACUGUUGGCUUUGGCGGGCAAGGUCCCCUUUGGCCCAGUGGCUUCGUGCGCCCCAUCCCAUCUCAUCCCGUUGGGGUCGGAUGGGUAGGACGAACGAUGAAAGCCCGGCGCAAUGGGCGCCAAGGAAGACAAACCUCGGGGGCACAUGUUUGGGGCCAUGUUGGCCUCUAAUGCACCCCAGUGUAUGAAUCCAAACCUCACAUGACUCUCGGCAACGGAUAUCUCGGCUCUCGCAUCGAUGAAGAACGUAGCGAAAUGUGAUAUUUGGUGUGAAUUGCAGAAUCCCGUGAACCAUCGAGUCUUUGAACGCAAGUUGCGCCCGAGGCCUUGCGGCUAAGGGCACGCCUGCCUGGGCGUCACGCUAUCGACGCUCCACACCCAUCCCCAUGGCAUGGGCAAUGGAUGCGGAAGUUGGCCCCCCGUGUGCGAGGCACCCUUGCAUCUGGUCGGCCAAAGACUAUGGCUAUCGCGUGUCCCCAAGGACAUGAUGGGCGGUGGAUAUGCCCUUGAGCAUGCUUAAACAUUAUGCCUUGACAC